This 253-nucleotide ribosomal RNA is filed under the name uncultured bacterium. RNAcentral describes it as "partial 16S ribosomal RNA". It matches the Rfam family "Bacterial small subunit ribosomal RNA", at positions 524 to 776 of the family's 1533-position model. The record is from RNAcentral.
UACGUAGGGGGCAAGCGUUGUCCGGAUUUACUGGGCGUAAAGAGCGUGUAGGCGGCCAAGCAGGUCCGUUGUGAAAACUGGAGGCUUAACCUCCAGACGUCGACGGAAACCGCGUGGCUAGAGUCCGGAAGAGGAGAGUGGAAUUCCAGGUGUAGCGGUGAAAUGCGUAGAUAUCUGGAGGAACACCGACGGCGAAGGCAGCACUCUGGGCCGGUACUGACGCUGAGGAGCGAAAGCAUGGGGAGCGAACAGG